AGAUUAUAAAAAGAAAACAAUAGACAUUUUUAGUUAGAGAGAGUCUAGAUAGAGACAUUUGAAUACUCUCUCUCUUGUAUGGUUCUUCCCGUGUCAACUUUUUAUUUGUUUUUAAAUUUUAAAUAAUUAAACUAAA
RNAcentral lists this small RNA (136 nucleotides) under Arabidopsis thaliana (thale cress). Its description in RNAcentral is "ATSL175570". Lineage: Eukaryota; Viridiplantae; Streptophyta; Magnoliopsida; Brassicales; Brassicaceae. The record is from RNAcentral.